This is a long non-coding RNA of Oncorhynchus tshawytscha (Chinook salmon), 844 nucleotides long. NCBI's taxonomy places the organism in Eukaryota, Metazoa, Chordata, Actinopteri, Salmoniformes, Salmonidae. The record is from Ensembl.
CAUUUAGCAGGCUUCUGUCUAUAACAUGAGCUGCUCAGUAUGUGUAGAAAAUCUUUGCUACCACAGCUUUUUUGAAAGAUAUAACGUUAGCCAAGGAGAUAUGCAAAAGUGUUGCUACUGCUCUCAUCAACAUUGCUGCUCAGAAUUUAGCAGGCGCUAUCAAGAAAGAUCAGUGGGGGAAAAAUGACUUCUUUCUACACACGGUCAAUGUGAACCUGGCCAAACAAUCUGUAGCUAGCUGCAGACCAAAUCGAAAAGACACUGCCGUGAAGCUUUCAUCCAUGUAUACGGGUGUGAAAGCUGGAAAAGCAGGGAGUGGAGGUCAUUGUUAUGGUCCAUAAAACAAAUGACAGGGUAGUGAAGUAGUCUUCAUUACAGAAGCCGAUAAUUACAUGAAGGGGCAUGGCGAUGCAAUGAGUGAAUUUGUCGACCAUUUAAAAGACAACAGCUAAAGGCAGAAGGAAAAGCUCCACCAGGAAAACAAAUAACCUGAUGAGAGAGCUUCAAGACCUCUUCAACAAGAACUUCAGUAUGUUUAAAUAUGUCUCCUGAUGUAAUGUGUUUUGAAAAACAGUAAUAAAAUAGAAUUUGAUAUAUAUUUAUGACCAUAACAAACUCUCAUAGUUUGACAUAGUCCAUGUGAACAUUAUAUGACUUUUUUUUUUAAAGUGAAAAUUACAAAUGUGUGUUUUGUUUAAUCUGGUCAUGGACCUAUGUUUAGAGAAAAUGAAACACUUUCAUAAAAUGUACUAUAAAAUAUGUCCAUAUGGCACUUGUAGUAAAUAUUGAAAGUACCAAAUAAGGACGUUAUAUCCGUUUGCAACGUCUGAUUAUAGGAAGUCAG